UACGGGGGGGGCAAGCGUUGUUCGGAAUUACUGGGCGUAAAGGGCGCGUAGGCGGCCUUAUAAGUCAGAUGUGAAAGCUCUGGGCUCAACCCAGGAAUUGCAUUUGAGACUGAAUAGCUAGGGUGCGGUAGAGGGAAGCGGAAUUUCCGGUGUAGCGGUGAAAUGCGUAGAUAUCGGAAGGAACAUCAGUGGCGAAAGCGGCUUCCUGGACCAGCACCGACGUUCAGGCACGAAAGCGUGGGGAGCAAACAGG
This 253-nucleotide ribosomal RNA is filed under the name uncultured bacterium. RNAcentral's name for it is "partial 16S ribosomal RNA". It matches the Rfam family "Bacterial small subunit ribosomal RNA", at positions 524 to 776 of the family's 1533-position model. The record is from RNAcentral.